GUCUAUGGCCAUGCCACCCUAAACACGUCCAAUCCCGUUUUAUCUCGGAAGCUAAGCAGGGUCGGCCUGGUUAGCACUUGGAUGAGAGACCAUCUAGGAAGACUGGUGCUGUAGGUA
This 117-nucleotide ribosomal RNA is filed under the name Pteropus vampyrus (large flying fox). The record is from RNAcentral. Lineage: Eukaryota; Metazoa; Chordata; Mammalia; Chiroptera; Pteropodidae.